UACGAAGGGGGCUAGCGUUGCUCGGAAUCACUGGGCGUAAAGGGUGCGUAGGCGGGUCUUUAAGUCAUACGUGAAAUCCCUCAGCUUAACUGGGGAACUGCGUCUGAUACUGGUUGGCUUGAGUGCAGGAGAGGAACGCGGAAUUCCAGGUGUAGCGGUGAAAUGCGUAGAUAUCGGAAGGAACAUCAGUGGCGAAAGCGACUUCCUGGACCAAUACUGACGCUCAUGUGCGAAAGCGUGGGGAGCAAACAGG
This 253-nucleotide ribosomal RNA is filed under the name uncultured bacterium. Its description in RNAcentral is "partial 16S ribosomal RNA". It matches the Rfam family "Bacterial small subunit ribosomal RNA", at positions 524 to 776 of the family's 1533-position model. The record is from RNAcentral.